UACGUAGGGUGCAAGCGUUGUCCGGAAUUAUUGGGCGUAAAGAGCUUGUAGGCGGUUUGUCGCGUCUGCUGUGAAAUUUCGGGGCUCAACCCCGAACUUGCAGUGGGUACGGGCAGACUAGAGUGUGGUAGGGCAGACUGGAAUUCCUGGUGUAGCGGUGAAAUGCGUAGAUAUCAGGAGGAACACCGAUGGCGAAGGCAGGUCUCUGGGCCAUAACUGACGCUGAGAAGCGAAAGCAUGGGGAGCGAACAGG
Molecule: ribosomal RNA, 253 nt
Filed under: uncultured bacterium
Lineage: Bacteria
Description: partial 16S ribosomal RNA
Rfam family: Bacterial small subunit ribosomal RNA
Source: RNAcentral